This 467-nucleotide ribosomal RNA is filed under the name uncultured bacterium. RNAcentral's name for it is "partial 16S ribosomal RNA". It matches the Rfam family "Bacterial small subunit ribosomal RNA", at positions 28 to 506 of the family's 1533-position model. The record is from RNAcentral.
GACGAACGCUGGCGGCGUGCUUAACACAUGCAAGUCGAACGGAAAGGCCCUGCUUCUGUGGGGUGCUCGAGUGGCGAACGGGUGAGUAACACGUGAGUAACCUGCCCUUGACUUUGGGAUAACUUCAGGAAACUGGGGCUAAUACCGGAUAGGAGCUCCUGCUGCAUGGUGGGGGUUGGAAAGUUUCGGCGGUUGGGGAUGGACUCGCGGCUUAUCAGCUUGUUGGUGGGGUAGUGGCUUACCAAGGCUUUGACGGGUAGCCGGCCUGAGAGGGUGACCGGCCACAUUGGGACUGAGAUACGGCCCAGACUCCUACGGGAGGCAGCAGUGGGGAAUAUUGCACAAUGGGCGGAAGCCUGAUGCAGCAACGCCGCGUGCGGGAUGACGGCCUUCGGGUUGUAAACCGCUUUCGCCUGUGACGAAACGUGAGUGACGGUAAUGGGUAAAGAAGCACCGGCUAACUACGU